Molecule: unclassified non-coding RNA, 701 nt
Filed under: Bradyrhizobium sp. STM 3043
Lineage: Bacteria; Pseudomonadati; Pseudomonadota; Alphaproteobacteria; Hyphomicrobiales; Nitrobacteraceae
Description: partial 16S-23S ribosomal RNA intergenic spacer
Rfam family: Bacterial large subunit ribosomal RNA (bases 580-701)
Source: RNAcentral
UUGGUUAGAGCGCGCGCUUGAUAAGCGUGAGGUCGGAAGUUCAAGUCUUCCCAGGCCCACCAUUUUGAUCGAGUGCGGAGCAUUCGUCUUCUGGUACGGGGCCAUAGCUCAGCUGGGAGAGCGCGUGCUUUGCAAGCAUGAGGUCGUCGGUUCGAUCCCGUCUGGCUCCACCAGAUGGAAUUGAAGCUCGAGAAUGCGCCUUUGCAGGAAGCUCUGUUCAUAUCGUUCGCGAAACAUCACUUCGCACUCAUUGGUCCGGAUGGACGGUGACGUGCGUGUUUUCUGACAUCGUAAAGAGGAGAUCGAUCCGAGUUUGGAUCAAGCGAAGCAAUUCGCCUGAGCCAUUCAUUAUCUCCGGGAUCAUUUCGGCGCUCGCUUCAAUCGUGAGAUUGGAUGCGGGUUGUAAAUGAUCCCUUUUAGCGAAGCUUGACCGCCUCGCUAUCGGGCCGAUCUUACGAAGCAAGCUGGUCUUUCUAGUCAAUGUCCGGCUGCGCAAUCGCAUUCAUCGAGGAUGCGUGCCUUCAAUGGCAGUUGUGCAGACAACAUUCUGCCGAGUGUGUGGACAUUGAUAAUGAGAGCAAUCAAGUGCCUUAAGGGUGUUCGGUGGAUGCCUUGGCGCUGAGAGGCGAUGAAGGACGUGCUACGCUGCGAUAAGCCGUGGGGAGCUGCGAAGAAGCUUUGAUCCGCGGAUUUCCGAAUGG